Long non-coding RNA from Triticum dicoccoides, 1791 nucleotides. RefSeq lists it as uncharacterized. NCBI's taxonomy places the organism in Eukaryota, Viridiplantae, Streptophyta, Magnoliopsida, Poales, Poaceae. The record is from RefSeq and is a predicted model, not a curated record. The transcript is spliced from 3 exons.
CUCUCACUCUCCUCGUCGCCGCCCUCUUCCUCUCCUCGUAGCCGGCCUCUCCCUCUCCCCGUCGCCGGCCUCUCCCUCUCCCCGUCGCCGGCCUCUUCCACCGGCCUUUUUUUCUCACCACCCCGCCUCCACUCAUACCCCGUAAGUCAACAAAAUAUCGAUUCUUUUUGCGCCGGCGACGAGCUUCUAGGCGAAGGACGUGUGGAUGUGUAGCGGCGCCAGAGCUCGAUAUAGGCAACGAAGGCGUGGACGUGGAGCGGUGCCCGAGCGGCGGAUCUGGAGCGGCGGCUCUGGAGCGGCGCCCGAGCAACGGAGGGAGAUGGAGUUCCCUCCUGGCGUGGCGGCUAGAUCUGCAACGCCAGCAGCUGCGGUACGCCACCCUCGCUGCUGUCGCAGGGAGACGCCGCUCUUCCCCUUCUCGGUCCGCCCUGAUGUGGUUUCCUCUCCGUGACCCGUCAUCGGAGGCACAGCCAGAAGCAUCCCCGCCGCGUGCAGCUGCUGCUCCCGGACGCCGCCGCCGCCCUCCGCAAGGAGUGACGAUAGCCUGAAGCUCUGCGGCCCGGCGUGCGCCGAGCGGCGCGCCGCGGGGGCACCGUCGCCGACCGGCCACACGACAUCGCUCUCGUCCAGCUAGAAGCAUGCGCUGUCGUGGCCCGCCUCCGACUGCUUCAGCAAGCCAAGAAACUGGAACGCGCCCAUGCCCGGCGACCUCGGCAUCUCCAUCGAUGAUGUAUCAUUGGCUUUGGCAACAUUGAUCCUUCUUCACGUGCUGGUUGUUGCAUUUGAAUUCAGAUGGCGUCGACCUUGGCCUCCUCGUCGAUCUGACUCUGCAUUAAGAAAACUUGUUGGCAUCAAGUGUCCCCCUUCCUCCACCGGUAGCCUUCCAUCGAAUUCACAUCAAAACACUUCAUUCAUUCACCCAGAAAAAAUAACUGACGUUGCCAACAUCUCACAAGAAAGAAGAGAGCAGAGUUGAAGUUGCCAGCCUGUUUACUUGCAGCUACACCUGUGUUCUUCUUCUUCUUCUUCGCAGAAUCAAUCAGGUUUACUUGCAGCCUUACUCACUUUGUGUCUUAGUUAAUCAAAUUCCUCAAUUGAGGAACACCUGGAAUUGUCAUUCCGGUCUUGGGAUCAACAUUAGCAUAUGGACUUAUCAUCCUGGUUUUUGGAUGAUUUAGUUAAUCAAAUUGACAUCAAUUGACCUGUUUUUUUGGAUCAAUUGCAGAUUCUCUUGAUUGGAGUGGAGAGGAGCAGAGACGAGAGGAGCAGCAGAAGUGGUCAGCGCAGCGGCUGACCUCGAGCUCUUGAUUGGAGUGGGGGGAGGCGGCCGGCGAAGGAUCCGAAGUUGUGGCGGAGCAGGCAGCCGGCGGGAAGGGCGGACGACGAGGGAGCUGCAGACCUUGGCGCGGAAGGGCGGCCGAUGAGGGAGCUGCGGACCACGGCGGGGAAGGGCGGCCGGUCGGCGAGAGAGCUGCGGACCGCGGCGGGGAAGGACGCCGGAGAUGCGGACGAUGGAGGAGCCCGGCGAAAGGGAGUAGCGACGGCGGAGAAGCCUGGCGGAGGAGAGGAGCGACGGAGGAAGACGCCUCCCGAUGGAUUACAAAUCGGGGGUAGUAUUGUACUUUCACACUAUUUCACCUGGUCGGAAGGAUGCCCCCAGCGACAAUUAUUUCGGAACGGAGGGAGUAUUAAGUAAUACCAUGUCAAACAUAAAUGGAUGUGAUUCAUAUUUCAGAUUAUCACAAGAAAGACCAGGAAAGAAAUAGAGAAUACAAAUUUUAAUGGUUGCUA